GCUCAGGAUGAACGCUGGCGGCGUGCUUAACACAUGCAAGUCGAACGGGAUCCAUCAGGCUUUGCUUGGUGGUGAGAGUGGCGAACGGGUGAGUAAUGCGUGACCGACCUGCCCCAUACCCGGAAUAGCUCCUGGAAACGGGUGGUAAUGCCGGAUGCUCCGACUCCUCGCAUGGGGUGUCGGGAAAGAUUUCAUCGGUAUGGGAUGGGGUCGCGUCCUAUCAGGUAGUCGGCGGGGUAACGGCCCACCGAGCCUACGACGGGUAGCCGGCCUGAGAGGGCGACCGGCCACAUUGGGACUGAGAUACGGCCCAGACUCCUACGGGAGGCAGCAGUA
Molecule: ribosomal RNA, 336 nt
Filed under: uncultured bacterium
Lineage: Bacteria
Description: bacterial SSU rRNA
Rfam family: Bacterial small subunit ribosomal RNA
Source: RNAcentral